RNAcentral lists this ribosomal RNA (377 nucleotides) under uncultured eukaryote. Its description in RNAcentral is "partial 18S ribosomal RNA". It matches the Rfam family "Eukaryotic small subunit ribosomal RNA", at positions 592 to 976 of the family's 1831-position model. The record is from RNAcentral.
CAAUAGCGUAUAUUUAAGUUGUUGCAGUUAAAAAGCUCGUAGUUGGAUUUCGGGGCAGCCUGGCUGGUCCGCCGCAAGGCGAGUACUGGUCAGCCGCCCUUCCUCUCGAAAGCCCCGACUGCUCUUCGUUGCAGUGGUCGGGUAGUUCGGGACGUUUACUUUGAAAAAAUUAGAGUGUUCAAGGCAGGCCUACGCCUGAAUACAUUAGCAUGGAAUAAUGGAAGAGGACCUCGGUCCUAUUUUGUUGGUUUCCAGGGCCGAAGUAAUGAUUAAGAGGGACAGUUGGGGGCAUUCGUAUUUAAUUGUCAGAGGUGAAAUUCUCGGAUUUAUGAAAGACGAACAACUGCGAAAGCAUUUGCCAAGGAUGUUUUCAUUAA